CCGGCGACCGGCGGCACGGGUGAGUAACACGUAUGCAACCUGGCCGUGACAGAUGGAUAACCGGGAGAAAUCCCGCCUAAUACAACAUAAUGCCGGGAGGGGACAUCCCCUGCCGGCCAAAGGGGGCGACCCCGGUCACGGAUGGGCAUGCGGCGCAUUAGGUAGUUGGUGGGGCAACGGCCCACCAAGCCGACGAUGCGUAGGGGUUCUGAGAGGAAGGUCCCCCACAUUGGUACUGAGACACGGACCAAACUCCUACGGAAGGCAGCAG
RNAcentral lists this ribosomal RNA (271 nucleotides) under uncultured bacterium. RNAcentral describes it as "partial 16S ribosomal RNA". It matches the Rfam family "Bacterial small subunit ribosomal RNA", at positions 87 to 354 of the family's 1533-position model. The record is from RNAcentral.